This 464-nucleotide ribosomal RNA is filed under the name uncultured bacterium. RNAcentral's name for it is "bacterial SSU rRNA". It matches the Rfam family "Bacterial small subunit ribosomal RNA", at positions 34 to 507 of the family's 1533-position model. The record is from RNAcentral.
CGCUGGCGGCAGGCUUAACACAUGCAAGUCGAGCGCACCUUCGGGUGAGUGGCGGACGGGUGAGUAACGCGUGGGAAUCUGCCUUCUAGUGGGGGAUAGCCCGGAGAAAUCCGGAUUAAUACCGCAUACGCCCUACGGGGGAAAGCCGGGGAUCUUCGGACCUGGCGCUAGUAGAUGGGCCCGCGUGAGAUUAGCUUGUUGGUGGGGUAAUGGCCUACCAAGGCAACGAUCUCUAGCUGGUCUGAGAGGACGAUCAGCCACACUGGGACUGAGACACGGCCCAGACUCCUACGGGAGGCAGCAGUGGGGAAUAUUGGACAAUGGGCGAAAGCCUGAUCCAGCAAUGCCGCGUGUGUGAAGAAGGCCUGAGGGUUGUAAAGCACUUUCAAUCGUGAAGAAAAGUUGCAGGCUAAUACCCUGUGACCUUGACGUUAACGAUACAAGAAGCACCGGCUAACUCCGUG